GAUGAACGCUGGCGGCGUGCUUAACACAUGCAAGUCGAACGAUGAAGCCCAGCUUGCUGGGUGGAUUAGUGGCGAACGGGUGAGUAACACGUGAGUAACCUGCCCUUGACUCUGGGAUAAGCCUGGGAAACUGGGUCUAAUACUGGAUAUGACUUCUCAUCGCAUGGUGGGGGGUGGAAAGAUUUAUUGGUCUUGGAUGGACUCGCGGCCUAUCAGCUUGUUGGUGAGGUAAUGGCUCACCAAGGCGACGACGGGUAGCCGGCCUGAGAGGGUGACCGGCCACACUGGGACUGAGACACGGCCCAGACUCCUACGGGAGGCAGCAGUGGGGAAUAUUGCACAAUGGGCGCAAGCCUGAUGCAGCGACGCCGCGUGAGGGAUGACGGCCUUCGGGUUGUAAACCUCUUUCAGUAGGGAAGAAGCGAGAAUGACGGUACCUGCAGAAGAAGCGCCGGCUAACUACGUG
This 466-nucleotide ribosomal RNA is filed under the name uncultured bacterium. Its description in RNAcentral is "partial 16S ribosomal RNA". It matches the Rfam family "Bacterial small subunit ribosomal RNA", at positions 28 to 507 of the family's 1533-position model. The record is from RNAcentral.